Molecule: long non-coding RNA, 829 nt
Organism: Hemibagrus wyckioides
Lineage: Eukaryota; Metazoa; Chordata; Actinopteri; Siluriformes; Bagridae
Exons: 2
Source: RefSeq, a predicted model, not a curated record
CUGCUGCAUCCGCAAAGUUUCGUUUUCCUUUCUUCAUUCCUCUUGAAGUUGCGUAACAUGUUUUCCGUGAGUGUUAAAGCUCAGUGAGCUGCUCAGAGCACAAGUGAAGGAGGAAACAUGGCAAACAGCGAGCUGGGAGACCGAGUCAAGGACAUGUAUGAUGGAGUUGAUCUGAACAACAUGACAAAACGACAAAAAGAAGCGCACAUAGAUAGAACUCUUCAAAACAACCGGGAUGUUCUCCUCAGGGUUUAUAGACAGGACAGACUUCAUAUGGUGUUCUUAAGACCGACUGAUCCUGGAGUGUGGAUGAGAGUGAUUCAGGGCAGGAUUGCAACUGCCCUGUCUUUUCAGCUGACCAAGAAACGUGCUGAACUCAAUAUCUACAAGAUCACCAUGUCUGGUGCUCAGGAGGCGCUUCAAGGUUUCUGUAAUGAUUUUGAUGAGAUCUAUGAGGAGGUUAUGAGAAAUAUGCCGGAUGAAGGAGCAGCAGCAGGAAAUAACGCAGAGGAUGAUGUUGAGGAGCUCAGAGUGAGAAUCAGGGAGCUGGAACUGGAAAACGAAAGGCUUCGCAGGAAUUAGCUGUGUCUUCAGAGCAGUUGCAAACCCGAGGCCUGUGUAUCGCUGUGGUUCUUUCAUCACUGCAGUGGAACUGGAUAAAGGGAUAAAGUUGAACAUAAUACUGAAUACGGAGGAAAGGCUGAUAGAUUACCACUGAUCUUUACUUUACAAUCUCUUACACUUUUCAUUUUAGCUCUAGAAGAAAAGAAAUUGAAUUUAGCCAAACCUUAGGACUAGAAUUAAACUAACACAUUCUUAUAUAUAUAUA